UGAAUACGAGACGCUAAGGCGUCGAAGUAGUGUAUGUCAUACUUCCAAGAAAAGCUUGCACUGUCAUAGAUAAAAAACGCCUGUACCAUAACCGACACAGGUGGGUAGGUAGAGUAUACUAAGGGGCGCGAGAUAACUCUCUCUAAGGAACUCGGCAAAAUAACUCCGUAACUUCGGGAGAAGGAGUGCCUUAUUAUUAAGGUUGCAAUAACAAGAUCCAAGCAACUGUUUAUCAAAAACACAGGUCUCCGCUAAGUCGUAAGACGAUGUAUGGGGGCUGACGCCUGCCCAGUGCCAGAAGGUUAAAGAAGCUGGUUAGCAUUUGCGAAGCUAGUAACUGAAGCCCUGGUGAACGGCGGCCGUAACAAUAACGGUCCUAAGGUAGCGAAAUUCCUUGUCUGGUAAGUUCCGACCCGCACGAAAGGCGUAAUGAUUUGGAUACUGUCUCGGAGAGGGGCUCGGUGAAAUAGACUUGUCUGUGAAGAUGCGGACUACCUGCACCAGGACAGAAAGACCCUAUGAAGCUUUACUGUAACUUGAAAUUGAAAUUGGACUUUAUUCGCGCAGUAUAGGUGGGAGGCGUUGAUUAUAAUCUUGCGGGAUUAUUGGAGCCAUUAGUGAGAUACCACUCUUGUAAUGUUAGAUUUCUAACUUUGAAUCAUUAUCUGGUCAAAGAACAGUUUCAGGCGGGCAGUUUGACUGGGGCGGUCGCCUCCUAAACGGUAACGGAGGCGUACAAGGGUUUCCUCUGAACGGUUAGAAAUCGUAUCUAGAGUGUAAAGGCAUAAGGAAGCUUGACUGUGAGACCUACAAGUCGAGCAGGGACGAGAGUCGGUCUUAGUGAUCUGACGGUACUGAGUGGAAAGGCCGUCACUCAACGGAUAAAAGUUACUCUAGGAUAACAGGCUGAUCUCCCCCAAGAGUUCACAUCGACGGGGAGGUUUGGCACCUCGAUGUCGGCUCAUCGCAUCCUGGGGCGGUAGUACGUCCCAAGGGUUGGGCUGUUCGCCCAUGAAAGCGGUACGCGAGCUGGGUUCAGAACGUCGUGAGACAGUUCGGUCCAUAUCCGGUGUAGGCGUUAGAAUAUUGAGAGGAGCCUUCUUUAGUACGAGAGGACCGAGAAGGACAUACCUCUGGUGUACCAGUUAUCGUGCCAACGGUAGACGCUGGGUAGCUAUGUAUGGAGUGGAUAACCGCUGAAAGCAUCUAAGUGGGAAGCCCACCUCAAGAUAAGUAUUCUCAU
Molecule: ribosomal RNA, 1243 nt
Filed under: metagenome
Description: bacterial LSU rRNA
Rfam family: Bacterial large subunit ribosomal RNA
Source: RNAcentral